This 300-nucleotide long non-coding RNA is filed under the name Mustela putorius furo (domestic ferret). RNAcentral describes it as "lncRNA (ENSMPUG00000028884.1)". The record is from RNAcentral. Lineage: Eukaryota; Metazoa; Chordata; Mammalia; Carnivora; Mustelidae.
ACGGCUUAAAGAGGAAUGUAAAGAGAAUGAGCUCCUUUCUUGAAAUAACAAAAUAAUUGGAGUUUAACCCAGAAAAAUAUCCUCGGGCCUUGAUUAAAGGGCAAAAAUAGCAACAACCCAAUGGGCAAUAUAAAAACUACAACCACCAAGAGACACAGUAAGAGAGGAAACACAAGCAUGGGAAAUAGGAGAGGGAGAAGCGAUGCAGGGCUCGAUCCCAGGACCUGGGAUCAUGACCUGAGCCGAAAGCAGAGGCUUAACGCACUGAGACAUCCAGGUACCCCUAUCUUUAAUUAUUUU